RNAcentral lists this ribosomal RNA (373 nucleotides) under Citrobacter freundii. Its description in RNAcentral is "partial 23S ribosomal RNA". It matches the Rfam family "Bacterial large subunit ribosomal RNA", at positions 890 to 1260 of the family's 2925-position model. Lineage: Bacteria; Pseudomonadati; Pseudomonadota; Gammaproteobacteria; Enterobacterales; Enterobacteriaceae. The record is from RNAcentral. RNAcentral also lists the same sequence under 1 other name.
UCAUCUUCGGGGGUAGAGCACUGUUUCGGCUAGGGGGUCAUCCCGACUUACCAACCCGAUGCAAACUGCGAAUACCGAAGAAUGUUAUCACGGGAGACACACGGCGGGUGCUAACGUCCGUCGUGAAGAGGGAAACAACCCAGACCGCCAGCUAAGGUCCCAAAGUCAUGGUUAAGUGGGAAACGAUGUGGGAAGGCACAGACAGCCAGGAUGUUGGCUUAGAAGCAGCCAUCAUUUAAAGAAAGCGUAAUAGCUCACUGGUCGAGUCGGCCUGCGCGGAAGAUGUAACGGGGCUAAACCAUGCACCGAAGCUGCGGCAGCGACACUAUGUGUUGUUGGGUAGGGGAGCGUUCUGUAAGCCGUUGAAGGUGUA